RNAcentral lists this long non-coding RNA (4658 nucleotides) under Brassica napus (rape). RNAcentral's name for it is "long non-coding RNA (BNAP_LNC013534)". Lineage: Eukaryota; Viridiplantae; Streptophyta; Magnoliopsida; Brassicales; Brassicaceae. The record is from RNAcentral.
UAGAGCUUAUUGUUCUAAACAUCGGUAAGGACCGGAAGGUGUUGAAUGAUCAAGUAUUUGCUAUCUUAGUCCUAAUGGCAUUGGUCACAACGUUUAUUACAACACCACUUUUGUUAGCGAUUUACAAGCCUGCGAGAAAAGGAGCACCUUACAAGCAUAGAACAAUACAAAGAAAGGACCAUGACUCCGAGUUGCGGAUACUCGCUUGCUUCCACAGUACACGCAACAUACCUACACUGAUCAACAUGAUAGAAUCAUCGAGAGGAACAGGGCUAAAGGGACGUCUCUGCGUCUACGCUAUGCAUCUAAUGGAGCUCUCUGAGCGGUCAUCAGCAAUUGCAAUGGUUCAUAAAGCGCGGUACAACGGCCUACCGAUCUGGAACAAGAUAGAGAGGUCCACGGAUCAAAUGGUGAUAGCUUUCGAAGGAUACCAGCAUCUCCGCGCAGUAGCGGUUAGACCGAUGACGGCAAUCUCGGAUCUCAGCACCAUCCACGAGGAUAUCUGCACGAGCGCGCACCAGAAACGAGUCGCGAUGAUUCUCCUCCCGUUCCACAAGCAUCAGAGGAUGGACGGAGCGAUGGAGUCGAUAGGACACGCGUUCCACGAAGUGAACAAACGCGUCCUACAACAAGCUCCCUGCUCCGUCGGGAUUCUUGUGGACAGAGGACUCGGAGGAGCGUCCCACGUCGUGGCCAGCGAAGUUGAUUACAAGAUCGUUGUCCCGUUCUUCGGAGGGUUAGACGACAGAGAAGCUUUGGCCUACGGGAUGAAGAUGGUGGAGCAUCCGGGGAUCACGCUGACCAUUCUCAAGUUCGUAGCUUCGAGAGGGACGUUGAAGAGGUUCGAGAAAGGUGAAGAGGAGGAAGAUGAGAAGAAGGAGAAAGAGAUUGACGAAGAUUUCGUUAGGGAGUUGAUGAACGAUCCGAGAGGGAAUGAGUCGCUGGCCUACGAGGAGAGAGUCGUUGAGAGUAAAGAAGAUGUUCGCGCGACUCUUAAGGCGACGAGCAAGUGUAAUCUGUUUGUUGUCGGGAGGAACGCUGCGGUUGUGCCGUUGGUUAAUAGUACGGACUGUCCCGAGCUAGGACCAGUUGGACGUUUGUUGUCGUCUUCGGAGUUUUCAACUACUGCGUCGGUGCUUGUUGUUCAGGGAUACGAUUCGGCGGCGGAUACACGGCCCGUGGUAGAGGAUGAUGAUUAUGAACAGUCUUCUAGAGAAAUUGGAGACUCAACGGUCUGAACGGAUCUAACUUAUUACAGAGCUUAAAGGAAAAGAAAAAAUGUCGUCUCUCUGUUUUUAUAUUUGCCUCACGAUAUAUUUUUGUUGGGACUUGGUCCUAAACUCUUAGACCCGAAAGACCCUUUUAAAACUAAAUAAAAAAUAAAAAUAAUAAAAUAAUAAGAAAACUUACCUUGGUUAUCGAGAUUGAGAGUAUCAGCAUUGCUGAUGCUCUUAGUUACCCUAUCUGCUGCAGGCUUGCAGCCUUUGUUUCCUUCUGAGAAGUAUGAGUGUAUAUUGUACCUAUGUUGACUUCUUUCUCUAUAACGUGGUCAGUUGUUCUUACUCCUUUUAUGCAUCUCAUGAAUGUUUAGAUAUUGUGUAUCUUAUAUCAUAUAUCCGAUCCAUAUACAUUGAUAUAAGUGAAAAUGGUUGAUGUUGAAGAAUAUAGCUCAACUUUUUUCAGGAGACAUGUACAAGAGCCGAGAGCCAGAGGCGUACUUAAUUUGUCAUGAGAAAGACAACUGUCUUAAACCCCAACUUAUAUAACACAUUUUAGAGGCUCCAUUUUAAUUCCACUUUAAAUUGGUUAUAUUGUAUAUAUAAAUUUCUCUUAGUUUUGGAUUUAAACAAUAAUUUAUUUAUGUUAUUUAUAUUUAUUUAAUUCUAUUUUAGACUUUUAGAUUUAAUUUAUCAUCUAUCUUCAUAAAACUAUUAUUUUAUUUAUUUAAAUUUUAGACUUUAAAUUAUAUUUUUUUAGCUUGUAUGAUUUUAUUUUUACUAUUGUAGUAAAACAUUUAGAAGCUUACCAUUUAACAUAUCUAAAUAAGCACAUAUUUAAUUAAACAAUUAUAAAAUCUUCAUAGAUAAUUUGAAAUCUUGCAUUUUUGGUUUAAUAAACUAUGCAUUUUGUAUUCUUUUAAGAAAUAAUAUUUUCAAUUUUUCAUAUGAAUCUAUAAAUAUAAAAUACAUGAUUUUUUGUAAAGUUUUAUGUAAUAGAUAUUUACUAAUUAUGAAAACUUUUUUACUCUAGCUUUAGGCCCCCAAAUACCUAGUCACGGCACUUACAAGAGCUUGUAAAUUUAGGACAAACAAAGACGAAAAUGUCGGCGUAGUCUAGGCAGUUAUGUGAGUAAGAGAUGCGAUUUGGUUGGAAGUUAAGUAACUGACAGUCUAUAAAUAGAAAAAAAUGCGAGGUGUAUGCUUACCCUGGAGUUGGUAUGUCCUGUUCAUUCUCGUCUUUCUAUUAUUAGCACUAUUGACAUUAUUAGUUUUCUGUUUCUCUCCUUUUAUAUCCUCACUUCUUGAAGUAGAUUAUGUUCAUGACACACAGAGACGUAGCAGAAUAGAUCUUGUUUCCUUUUCUCCUUACGCCCAAAGGCAAUGAGGGAGCAGCCAAGGCAUUAUUAAAAGUUGAAGCAGUGUUGCUUUCCUCGACCAAUCAUCAAGCCCAGGAAAGUUAUAUCUCGACUAGGAUGGCUACCCCCAACGCUACAGGUAACUGCCCGACUGCAAUGAAGGCUAGUUCUAAUGGAGCCUUCCAAAACGAAAACCCUCUUGAUUACGCGCUUCCUCUGAUCAUCCUACAGAUCUGCUUGGUGGUUGUGUUUACAAGGCUCUUAGCUUACCUUCUUAAACCUCUCAAACAGCCACGGGUCAUUGCUGAGAUCAUUGUAAGUCUCAUUCACAGGGUUGGUCUUGAGUCCAUACGUGAGAAACAUCCGUAUGGAGCCUACACUUUUUGUAGUUUUUAAGGUCAAUUUUUUCUUUGGUUGUUAGCAGAAAAAAUAUAAAUAGGAAUUCCGAAAACGUAUUUCAAACAAAUAACAAAAUAAAAUCUUGAAUAUUUUUCAUUAUUUAUAUGAAAAAACAAAGAGUUAAACUUUUAGAACUGGACAUAUAUUUGUUCGAAGGGUAAUGCAAUUUUUAAUUGCAAAUUUAAUUUUAAUUUUAGUUAAUUUUAUUUAUUAUUUAUGGCAUAUAUAUUUAGUUUUGUUUUGGAUCCGGAAUAUCUCAUGACCGGCACUUGCUCAUUCAAAUUCUUUGUAAUGUUUUUUUCCUUUAAAACGUUUUGUUGAUAAUAGAUGGUUUCUGUAGGGAGGGAUACUGCUUGGACCUACUGCUCUUGGACGAAGCAAGGUCUAUCUAGACACUAUCUUCCCAGAGAAGAGCAUGACGGUUUUAGACACACUUGCGAACAUCGGUCUUCUGUUCUUCUUGUUCCUAGUUGGGCUUGAGCUUGACUUUGCAGCCAUCAGAAAAACCGGAAAGAAGUCACUUUUGAUAGCCUUAGCUGGGAUCUCACUUCCUUUUGUAAUAGGUGUAGGUGCAUCUUUUAUUCUCAGCUCCACCAUAAGCAAAGGAGUCCAUCAGCUACCCUUUAUAGUCUUCAUGGGUGUUGCCUUAUCCAUCACUGCCUUCCCUGUGCUUGCUCGUAUCCUAGCUGAGCUAAAGCUUCUAACAACCGACGUUGGACGUAUGGCCAUGUCUGCAGCUGGAGUCAAUGACAUUGCAGCUUGGAUAUUCCUUGCACUCGCCAUUGCUCUCUCAGGAAAUGACAGUUCUUCUCUUGUACCUCUUUGGGUUCUCCUCUCUGGAUCCGGUUUUGUGAUCUUUGCUAUUUUGGUAAUCAAACCUAUCCUUGGCUUUAUGGCUAAACGCUGUCCUGAAGGAGAGCCUGUCAAGGAACUCUAUGUCUGCGUCACUCUGACAUUGGUUUUAGCAGCAAGCUUUCUGACAGACACUAUUGGGAUACACGCGCUGUUCGGCGCCUUUGUGGUUGGUAUAGUGACUCCAAAACAAGGACCGUUCUGUAGGAUCUUAACCGAGAAGAUAGAGGAUCUUGUCUCAGGGCUUCUUCUACCAUUGUACUUUGCGUCAAGCGGUUUAAAAACAGAUGUAACAACCAUCAGAGGUGCACAAUCUUGGGGACUUCUAGUUCUUGUUAUACUCACCACUUGUUUUGGUAAGAUUGUGGGAACCGUUGGAGCCUCUAUGCUAUGCAAGGUUCCCUUCAGAGAAGCUAUGGCACUUGGAGUACUAAUGAACACCAAAGGUUUAGUAGAGCUUAUUGUUCUAAACAUCGGUAAGGACCGGAAGGUGUUGAAUGAUCAAGUAUUUGCUAUCUUAGUCCUAAUGGCAUUGGUCACAACGUUUAUUACAACACCACUUUUGUUAGCGAUUUACAAGCCUGCGAGAAAAGGAGCACCUUACAAGCAUAGAACAAUACAAAGAAAGGACCAUGACUCCGAGUUGCGGAUACUCGCUUGCUUCCACAGUACACGCAACAUACCUACACUGAUCAACAUGAUAGAAUCAUCGAGAGGAACAGGGCUAAAGGGACGUCUCUGCGUCUACGCUAUGCAUCUAAUGGAGCUCUCUGAGCGGUCAUCAGCAAUUGCAAUGGUUCAUAAAGCGCGGUACAACGGCCUACCGAUCUGG